This 84-nucleotide transfer RNA is filed under the name Dicloster acuatus. RNAcentral describes it as "tRNA-Ile". It matches the Rfam family "tRNA". Rfam says of the family: Transfer RNA (tRNA) molecules are approximately 80 nucleotides in length. The record is from RNAcentral. Lineage: Eukaryota; Viridiplantae; Chlorophyta; Trebouxiophyceae; Chlorellales; Chlorellaceae.
GCAUCCGUGGCAGAGUGGUCGAUUGCACCGCACUCAUAAUGCAGCUCCUUUGGGACAUCGUUGGUUCAAGUCCAACCGGAUGCA